UACGAAAGGUGCAAGCGUUACUCGGAAUCAUUGGGCGUAAAGCGCGUGUAGGCGGUCCGGUAAGUCCGCUGUGAAAGUCGGGGGCUCAACCCUCGGAUGCCGGUGGAUACUGUCGGGCUUGAGUACGGAAGAGGCGAGUGGAAUUCCUGGUGUAGCGGUGAAAUGCGCAGAUAUCAGGAGGAACACCAAUUGCGAAGGCAGCUCGCUGGGACGUUACUGACGCUGAGACGCGAAAGCGUGGGGAGCAAACAGG
RNAcentral lists this ribosomal RNA (253 nucleotides) under uncultured bacterium. RNAcentral's name for it is "partial 16S ribosomal RNA". It matches the Rfam family "Bacterial small subunit ribosomal RNA", at positions 524 to 776 of the family's 1533-position model. The record is from RNAcentral.